GUAUCUGAAACCUGACGAGGAUGAGAACCUCCGGGGGCAAGAGGUUCGACCCGAGUGAAGCGAGAGAACGUUGCGUCAGCAACGGCCCGCAGUGGCAAGUCAUCCUCUGUCACCGGCAG
This 119-nucleotide small RNA is filed under the name Salmonella enterica subsp. enterica serovar Muenchen. Its description in RNAcentral is "RtT sRNA". It matches the Rfam family "RtT RNA". Rfam says of the family: This family represents a bacterial cis-regulatory element known as RtT RNA. The exact function of RtT is unknown although it is thought that it may be involved in changing the cellular response in relation to amino acid starvation. The record is from RNAcentral. Lineage: Bacteria; Pseudomonadati; Pseudomonadota; Gammaproteobacteria; Enterobacterales; Enterobacteriaceae.